This 390-nucleotide ribosomal RNA is filed under the name Jasus edwardsii (red rock lobster). RNAcentral's name for it is "eukaryotic LSU rRNA". It matches the Rfam family "Eukaryotic large subunit ribosomal RNA", at positions 1296 to 1594 of the family's 3401-position model. The record is from RNAcentral. Lineage: Eukaryota; Metazoa; Arthropoda; Malacostraca; Decapoda; Palinuridae.
GCCGAGACAACUAGCCCUUAAAUGGUAUGGCGCUCAAGCAUUCUCCCGAUACUCGACCGCCGGGGCACUACCGGUCCGCUUCUUCCGCCGCCACCUAUUCGGCGGCGGCGGUGGGUUACGGCGGGUCUCGAAGCCCCGGUGAGUAGGAGGGUCGCGGUGGUGUGCGCUGAAGGGUUCGGCGUGAGCCGGCCUGGAGCCUCCACUGGUGCAGAUCUUGGUGGUAGUAGCAAAUAGUCGAGAGAGAGUCCCUUGAAGGCCGAAGUGGAGAAGGGUUCCAUGUGAACAUCAGUUGGACAUGGGUUAGUCGCUCCUAAGCCCAAGGCGAAGGCCUGAUCCCACGCUAGAGGCAACGACCACACGCAGAGGAGGCAGGCCGCAUUGUGCGUAUUG